GAACGUUUUGCUGCUUUGCGUCAACUUUCUUCAACGAUUACGGAACUCCGACUCGGAUCAACACCGUCAAAGUGCUAGUCAAAAACGUUCCGGACUUUAGCGCUUCCCGAGAAAAGAACGAUCUGGGCGUCCUGACGUUCGAUCUCAAGGUUGUUCAACUGAAGCGUGAAGCAGCUAUUCUUGUAUUUGACCAGACGGAACAAAACGGGGCAAAAUCAUACUGCGAGGCGAAAACUCCCUGCAGGACUUCAAGAACAUGAAAACUAAGUCCUUAUUCUGGGACGAUGGAAAUGCGGCCCCCAGAACGUGACGCUGAUACUUUCCUGGAACAUCGUUCAAAGUGCAGAACUACUUCCAAAUGUAUUUCUCAUGGACAUCAUUCGUUCAAGUUCCCGGAAUCCUACAUGCCGUCGCCGAUCUAAACUAAAGCUUGCAAAAACUUAGAAGAAGAACUUAAAAAAAUACACAAAACCCCUACAAGAGCUUAUCGAUGAUUAGAAAAUUGCUCAAAGAAAAACGAAUCGAUACUAAAAUAAGCCACCAAAGAAUUCGUUUUUCGCCGAACUGUAGCUGACGACGAUGCAGCAUUUCCAUUUAUUCCAUUCUGAUUAUUAAGAUUUUUGUUUGCAAAUUGGAGCUGCCUUUCUCAACAUCAUCCAUCAUCAAUGAAAAAACCAAACUACAGGAACA
Molecule: long non-coding RNA, 690 nt
Organism: Uranotaenia lowii
Lineage: Eukaryota; Metazoa; Arthropoda; Insecta; Diptera; Culicidae
Exons: 3
Source: RefSeq, a predicted model, not a curated record